RNAcentral lists this ribosomal RNA (397 nucleotides) under uncultured bacterium. Its description in RNAcentral is "partial 16S ribosomal RNA". It matches the Rfam family "Bacterial small subunit ribosomal RNA", at positions 523 to 918 of the family's 1533-position model. The record is from RNAcentral.
AUACAUAGGGGGCAAGCGUUAUCCGGAAUUAUUGGGCGUAAAGCGCGCGCAGGCGGUCCUUUAAGUCUGAUGUGAAAGCCCACGGCUCAACCGUGGAGGGUCAUUGGAAACUGGAGGACUUGAGUGCAGAAGAGGAAAGUGGAAUUCCGAGUGUAGCGGUGAAAUGCGUAGAGAUUUGGAGGAACACCAGUGGCGAAGGCGAGUUUCUGGUCUGUAACUGACGCUGAGGCGCGAAAGCGUGGGGAGCAAACAGGAUUAGAUACCCUGGUAGUCCACGCCGUAAACGAUGAGUGCUAAGUGUUAGGGGGUUUCCGCCCCUUAGUGCUGCAGCUAACGCAUUAAGCACUCCGCCUGGGGAGUACGGUCGCAAGACUGAAACUCAAAUGAAUUGGCGGGG